RNAcentral lists this ribosomal RNA (407 nucleotides) under uncultured bacterium. Its description in RNAcentral is "bacterial SSU rRNA". It matches the Rfam family "Bacterial small subunit ribosomal RNA", at positions 11 to 420 of the family's 1533-position model. The record is from RNAcentral.
GUUUGAUCCUGGCUCAGAUUGAACGCUGGCGGCAUGCCUUACACAUGCAAGUCGAACGGCAGCACGGACUUCGGUCUGGUGGCGAGUGGCGAACGGGUGAGUAAUGCAUCGGAACGUACCCGGUAGUGGGGGAUAACUACCCGAAAGGGUGGCUAAUACCGCAUAUACUGUGCGCAGGAAAGCAGGGGACCUUCGGGCCUUGUGCUACCGGAGCGGCCGAUGUCAGAUUAGGUAGUUGGUGGGGUAACGGCCUACCAAGCCUGCGAUCUGUAGCGGGUCUGAGAGGAUGAUCCGCCACACUGGGACUGAGACACGGCCCAGACUCCUACGGGAGGCAGCAGUGGGGAAUUUUGGACAAUGGGCGCAAGCCUGAUCCAGCCAUGCCGCGUGAGUGAAGAAGGCCUCGG